CAGCCGCCGCGGUAAUACGUAGGUGGCAAGCGUUGUCCGGAAUUAUUGGGCGUAAAGGGCUCGCAGGCGGUUUCUUAAGUCUGAUGUGAAAGCCCCCGGCUCAACCGGGGAGGGUCAUUGGAAACCGGGAAACUUGAGUGCAGAAGAGGAGAGUGGAAUUCCACGUGUAGCGGUGAAAUGCGUAGAGAUGUGGAGGAACACCGGUGGCGAAGGCGACUCUCUGGUCUGUAACUGACGCUGAGGAGCGAAAGCGUGGGGAGCGAACAGGAUUAGAUACCCCAGUAGUCCCUGUCUCUUAUCA
RNAcentral lists this ribosomal RNA (301 nucleotides) under uncultured bacterium. RNAcentral's name for it is "partial 16S ribosomal RNA". It matches the Rfam family "Bacterial small subunit ribosomal RNA", at positions 509 to 809 of the family's 1533-position model. The record is from RNAcentral.